UGUGUAGGCGGUCCGCUAAGUCGGGUGUGAAAGCCCUGGGCUCAACCCAGGAAGUGCACUCGAAACUGGCGGGCUAGAGUAUCGGAGAGGUUGGUGGAAUUCUCGGUGUAGAGGUGAAAUUCGUAGAUAUCGAGAGGAACACCGGUGGCGAAGGCGGCCAACUGGACGAAUACUGACGCUGAGACACGAAAGCGUGGGGAGCAAACA
RNAcentral lists this ribosomal RNA (207 nucleotides) under uncultured bacterium. RNAcentral's name for it is "partial 16S ribosomal RNA". It matches the Rfam family "Bacterial small subunit ribosomal RNA", at positions 568 to 774 of the family's 1533-position model. The record is from RNAcentral.